RNAcentral lists this ribosomal RNA (1462 nucleotides) under Klebsiella pneumoniae. RNAcentral's name for it is "bacterial SSU rRNA". It matches the Rfam family "Bacterial small subunit ribosomal RNA". Lineage: Bacteria; Pseudomonadati; Pseudomonadota; Gammaproteobacteria; Enterobacterales; Enterobacteriaceae. The record is from RNAcentral.
AUUGAACGCUGGCGGCAGGCCUAACACAUGCAAGUCGAGCGGUAGCACAGAGAGCUUGCUCUCGGGUGACGAGCGGCGGACGGGUGAGUAAUGUCUGGGAAACUGCCUGAUGGAGGGGGAUAACUACUGGAAACGGUAGCUAAUACCGCAUAAUGUCGCAAGACCAAAGUGGGGGACCUUCGGGCCUCAUGCCAUCAGAUGUGCCCAGAUGGGAUUAGCUAGUAGGUGGGGUAACGGCUCACCUAGGCGACGAUCCCUAGCUGGUCUGAGAGGAUGACCAGCCACACUGGAACUGAGACACGGUCCAGACUCCUACGGGAGGCAGCAGUGGGGAAUAUUGCACAAUGGGCGCAAGCCUGAUGCAGCCAUGCCGCGUGUGUGAAGAAGGCCUUCGGGUUGUAAAGCACUUUCAGCGGGGAGGAAGGCGAUAAGGUUAAUAACCUUGGCGAUUGACGUUACCCGCAGAAGAAGCACCGGCUAACUCCGUGCCAGCAGCCGCGGUAAUACGGAGGGUGCAAGCGUUAAUCGGAAUUACUGGGCGUAAAGCGCACGCAGGCGGUCUGUCAAGUCGGAUGUGAAAUCCCCGGGCUCAACCUGGGAACUGCAUUCGAAACUGGCAGGCUAGAGUCUUGUAGAGGGGGGUAGAAUUCCAGGUGUAGCGGUGAAAUGCGUAGAGAUCUGGAGGAAUACCGGUGGCGAAGGCGGCCCCCUGGACAAAGACUGACGCUCAGGUGCGAAAGCGUGGGGAGCAAACAGGAUUAGAUACCCUGGUAGUCCACGCCGUAAACGAUGUCGAUUUGGAGGUUGUGCCCUUGAGGCGUGGCUUCCGGAGCUAACGCGUUAAAUCGACCGCCUGGGGAGUACGGCCGCAAGGUUAAAACUCAAAUGAAUUGACGGGAGCCCGCACAAGCGGUGGAGCAUGUGGUUUAAUUCGAUGCAACGCGAAGAACCUUACCUGGUCUUGACAUCCACAGAACUUUCCAGAGAUGGAUUGGUGCCUUCGGGAACUGUGAGACAGGUGCUGCAUGGCUGUCGUCAGCUCGUGUUGUGAAAUGUUGGGUUAAGUCCCGCAACGAGCGCAACCCUUAUCCUUUGUUGCCAGCGGUUAGGCCGGGAACUCAAAGGAGACUGCCAGUGAUAAACUGGAGGAAGGUGGGGAUGACGUCAAGUCAUCAUGGCCCUUACGACCAGGGCUACACACGUGCUACAAUGGCAUAUACAAAGAGAAGCGACCUCGCGAGAGCAAGCGGACCUCAUAAAGUAUGUCGUAGUCCGGAUUGGAGUCUGCAACUCGACUCCAUGAAGUCGGAAUCGCUAGUAAUCGUAGAUCAGAAUGCUACGGUGAAUACGUUCCCGGGCCUUGUACACACCGCCCGUCACACCAUGGGAGUGGGUUGCAAAAGAAGUAGGUAGCUUAACCUUCGGGAGGGCGCUUACCACUUUGUGAUUCAUGACUGGGGUG